CUUUGCCAGUAGGAAGGGCGGAAAUUCCUGAAGAUGUGUUCAUUCAUGUUGCAUCAGCUGCUUGGUGUUUUCAUGGCAUCUCUGCACACGUGUUGGGUUGAUCAUAAGCAGAAAACCAGAAGCGGCAGUGGUCUCCAGAAGAGACCCAAGGACCCCAAGCUCUCUGUGACACAAACAGGAAGGGCACUGUGGUGCAUUGAAAACCUGCACCAGUAGUGCAUUACCAGUGCACUAUGCUGCUGUUUCAUCAAGGAGAAAGGAGGUGACCACCCCCAGAGGAACUUCAUGCUCUACAGUAUGCUUUUGAAUGUCACGUGGAGAAGUGUGGAAGGCGUUCCUCCAUGGCAGAGCGGUGACCGGAGCGUGAGCUACCUGGCAGACGAGCUGGAUGUCAUUGCAACUGGUGGCGGAAGGAGAAGACGACAAGAUGCUCGUGUGGUUGUGCGUGCCAGGGCUUGAUUGCGUCUUUUCUCAGACUACACUGUUUUUACUUGUACACAUGUAAAAUAAAUAUUGUUUGCUCAAUUUGAGAUAUCAGAAA
Rhipicephalus sanguineus (brown dog tick) is the source of this 541-nucleotide long non-coding RNA. RefSeq lists it as uncharacterized. Lineage: Eukaryota; Metazoa; Arthropoda; Arachnida; Ixodida; Ixodidae. The transcript is spliced from 3 exons. The record is from RefSeq and is a predicted model, not a curated record.